RNAcentral lists this ribosomal RNA (414 nucleotides) under uncultured organism. RNAcentral describes it as "SSU rRNA". It matches the Rfam family "Bacterial small subunit ribosomal RNA", at positions 505 to 916 of the family's 1533-position model. The record is from RNAcentral.
GUGCCAGCAGCCGCGGUAAUACGUAGGGUGCGAGCGUUGUCCGGAAUUACUGGGCGUAAAGAGCUCGUAGGGGGUUUGUCGCGUUGUUUGUGAAAUCUCACGGCUUAACUGUGAGCGUGCGGGCGAUACGGGCAGACUAGAGUACUGCAGGGGAGACUGGAAUUCCUGGUGUAGCGGUGGAAUGCGCAGAUAUCAGGAGGAACACCGGUGGCGAAGGCGGGUCUCUGGGCAGUAACUGACGCUGAGGAGCGAAAGCGUGGGGAGCGAACAGGAUUAGAUACCCUGGUAGUCCACGCCGUAAACGGUGGGUACUAGGUGUGGGUUUCCUUCCUUGGGAUCCGUGCCGUAGCUAACGCAUUAAGUACCCCGCCUGGGGAGUACGGCCGCAAGGCUAAAACUCAAAGGAAUUGACGG